RNAcentral lists this ribosomal RNA (433 nucleotides) under uncultured bacterium. RNAcentral's name for it is "partial 16S ribosomal RNA". It matches the Rfam family "Bacterial small subunit ribosomal RNA", at positions 29 to 507 of the family's 1533-position model. The record is from RNAcentral.
AACGAACGCUGGCGGCAUGCCUAACACAUGCAAGUCGAACGAGACCUUCGGGUCUAGUGGCGCACGGGUGCGUAACGCAUGGGAACCUGCCCUUAGGUUCGGAAUAACUCCCCGAAAGGGGUGCUAAUACCGGAUAAUGUCUUCGGACCAAAGAUUUAUCGCCUUUGGAUGGGCCCGCGUUGGAUUAGCUAGUUGGUAGGGUAAAAGCCUACCAAGGCGACGAUCCAUAGCUGGUCUGAGAGGAUGAUCAGCCACACUGGGACUGAGACACGGCCCAGACUCCUACGGGAGGCAGCAGUGGGGAAUAUUGGACAAUGGGCGAAAGCCUGAUCCAGCAAUGCCGCGUGAGUGAUGAAGGCCGUAGGGUUGUAAAGCUCUUUUACCCGGGAUGAUAAUGACAGUACCGGGAGAAUAAGCUCCGGCUAACUCCGUG